UACGGGGGGGGCAAGCGUUGUCCGGAAUUAUUGGGCGUAAAGAGCUCGUAGGCGGUUUGUCGCGUCGGCCGUGAAAUCUCCACGCUUAACGUGGAGCGUGCGGUCGAUACGGGCAGACUUGAGUUCGGUAGGGGAGACUGGAAUUCCUGGUGUAGCGGUGAAAUGCGCAGAUAUCAGGAGGAACACCGGUGGCGAAGGCGGGUCUCUGGGCCGAUACUGACGCUGAGGAGCGAAAGCGUGGGGAGCGAACAGG
Molecule: ribosomal RNA, 253 nt
Filed under: uncultured bacterium
Lineage: Bacteria
Description: partial 16S ribosomal RNA
Rfam family: Bacterial small subunit ribosomal RNA
Source: RNAcentral